CGUAUGAUUAGUUUUUUCAAGUGACUCUUAGUGAAGUAAAAUUGUUUUUCCUUCGCGUCCAACUUCUAAUGUACCAAUAAUCACAUUAGCGAUAUACCGGCCUUCUUCAUCUAGCUUCGUCGAUAGAAACCCACAGUUUUUGAUUUUUACAAAACCUUUUUAUGUUGUUCAUUGUUUCUUCAUAACAAUUGGGCAACAUACGAUUUUUUUAAUGUCGAUUCGACAAGAAUACUCUUGUUUGUAUAUUUUUCCAAAAUGUUACGAAAACAAUUAUUUGAUAAUUUAUUCAAUAGAAUAUUAGCAGAUAAAAGGGCUUGACACAAAUCAUAAUUAAAUGUAUAUUUUUUGGAUGUCUAAGUAAGUAAACUCUGAUUUUUGGAAUUUCGAGUUUGUAAGUUUGUAUGUUCAAUACCAUUUAUGUGCUAACACGAGACAUGUGCUGUUCCACAGUGAACUUUUUAUCUGCUACAAGUUUAUCGUCACAUAUUUUACAAAAAAAUAUACAACCAUAUGUUGAAAAAACACUACUUCCGAAUUCUGAAACAUACGAUCGCGAAACGAGCACUAUUCGAAAUUUUAUUUUUAGGCAUUUUACAGAAGAAUAAAAAAACAAAAAAAAUACGUGAAACAGGACAAUUAAACGACACACGAGGCACUUGACAAC
Molecule: non-coding RNA, 664 nt
Organism: Cinara cedri
Lineage: Eukaryota; Metazoa; Arthropoda; Insecta; Hemiptera; Aphididae
Source: the annotation of a GenBank genome assembly